ACAGAAUUUACAGAAAGAAAUUCCCCGAAAUUUCCUUAAUUUUCGUGACAUUUUGGUGGAAUUCUCUGACAGUUGAAGAUACGCCAGAUGGUAGGUACAAAAUUAGAAACAGUUUUCAGGCAAAAUUUAUUGUUCAAAACGACAAACCCGUUCUAGACAGCAAAGAACGGUGACAAAACAAUGUGUCCCUGACAUUUCCAGAUUUUCCCUGAUAUUUCUCGGUUUUCCCGGUAUGCCCUUAUCCUCCGUUUUUGCAGGAACUUCAUUGCUUUGGGAAAAUUCGGCUCAAUCAUCAUCAUCGACUACGACCCGUCCCCUCCUGGCGGCUAUUCUACGCUCCAUAGCAGCUUCUCUCUUCCGUGCAGCAGCGUCCAUCUUCAUGCUCAUGCUCUCCAGAGGUUUCGCAACAGUCUCCUCCAUUUCUCUUUCAAACCUAUCCCAGUAAGCAUCGUCCGCGUUCCAGUCCAUGGUACUACGCCUCUGGCGUAUCCUUCGCUCACGAGCCGCCUCCCUCACCUUCUUGGCCGCCUCCCUCGCCCUCUUGCCCGCCUCCUUCGCUUGCCUGCCCGCCUCCUUCGCUUUCUGCCUCUCCGCCUCGAGUCUCUGCACCUUGGUCUUGAAGGCCCUCUUCUCAUCCGCGGUCAUCUCCCGGCCAAGGUGUAAAUUCGUGUGCCAGGCGGAACCGUCCCUUCGGAUCUGGUAUUGCGCCUCCUGGGGCAGCCUUCUGAUGUCACCGCAGACGCACUUCCCGUUGACGUAGACUGCCCUGUCAUACACCUGGAUGUUGAGGUUCCCCGGGCUCACUACCGUGUAGUAGAGGCCGUCCUCGUCAUAGGUCAUGUACUGCCCACUCCAGUCCAUUGACUUGGUAAACACCGAGCUCAACGGGACGUUUGGCGGGAGGGAGUACACUUGACCGUUGCCUUUGCCUGCGUUAUUUUCAAAUUUUGUAUUAGCAAGAAGUAUACGUGACAUAUUUUAUAGUAAUUUCUAACUAAGGAAUCCCCUGUAUUUUCCUUAGUUUUCUCUGUCUUUGGUUUGCAAGGGAUGAACAAACACAGAAUUUAGUGAUAACAUUAUUCAGGCAGUCA
This 1091-nucleotide long non-coding RNA is filed under the name Bemisia tabaci. Its description in RNAcentral is "lncRNA ENSSSA3NGG000285". Lineage: Eukaryota; Metazoa; Arthropoda; Insecta; Hemiptera; Aleyrodidae. The record is from RNAcentral.